This 2341-nucleotide long non-coding RNA is filed under the name Marmota monax (woodchuck). The record is from RNAcentral. Lineage: Eukaryota; Metazoa; Chordata; Mammalia; Rodentia; Sciuridae.
UUUUUUUUGGAACUGGGGGUCGAACCCAGGGCUUUGCUAAUGCUAAGAUUUUAUUCUUGAAGCGUUCAAUGUGAAUAACAUUCCCGGGAUUUCCAGUUUUCCCAUUGACUUUAACCUUCUCCCUCAGAAACUGUUAAAAAUAUCCAGAAUCAAAAAUCCCAUCUUUUACAGGAUGAGUAAGGUCCAUAUUAAACUUCCAAGUAGUCCUCUUAGGCUUCUUGUCUUCCUGCAGCACCAUCUUGACAGCUGGCCGCAUGAUCAGAGAGCGUUAGCGAUUAGAAAUUCCUCACUUAGAUAGGCAUGGCAAUGUAUACCUAUAACCCCAGCUGCUUAGAACACUGAGGCAGGAGGAUUCUGAGUCCAAGGCCAGUCUGGACAAUGUGACAAGUCCCUGUCUCAAAAAAAAAAAAAGGGGGGGGCUGGAGCUCAGUGGCAGAGCACUUGCUUACCAUAUGUGAGGCACUGGGUUUGAUCCUUAGCACCACAUACAAAAAUAAGCAAAUAAAAUAAAGUCAUGCUGUCCAUCUACAACUACAAAAAAAAAGAAGAAGAAAAAAGUUCCCAGUUUAGAUGACUCUUCCAACAGGGAUAGAUUGAACAGAGUUUACAAGGGCAUCUAAGUAGUAUAUUAGUUAUCCAUUGCUGUGCAACAAAUGACAGUAAAAUUAAAUGGCUUAAAACAUCUCAGCCAGAUGUGGUGGCACACACCUAUAAUCCCAGUGGCUGGGGAGGCUGAGGCUAAAGGAUUGCAUGUUCAAAGCCAGACUCAGCAAUUAAGCAAGGCCCUAAGCAACUUGUCUCAAAAAAUAAAAAUGGCUGGGGAUAUGGCGUAGUGUUCAAGUAUUCCUGAGUUUAGUCCCUGGUACCAAUAACAACAACAACAAAACCCCCAAAUUAUCUCAGUUUUUAUGGGGAGAGAAUCUGAGUUGCACUAUUUUCUGCCUCAGUGUGUCUCCCAAGGCUAUAUUCAAGGUGUUAGCUAAGGCCAUAAUCUUCUCUAGGUUCAGUGGUCAUCAGUAAAAAUCACUUCUUCGUGGGUGAUUGGACUGAAGACCUUAUUAGAAGACUAAGGAUUGGCCAGAAGUUGCCCAGAAGACAACACUAGCAAGCUGAAGUCAUAGUCUUUUGUGACAAUCACAGAAGUGACAUCCAGUCGCUUUUUACUCAGUAGGCCAGCCUGUACUCAAGGAACAUAGAUUAGACAGGGUAUGACUGUCAGAAGGCAGAAAUCAUUGAGAGCCAUGUUAGAAGUUGUCUGCCACAGGCAGUGUUUCUGUGGACCACCAGCAUCAAAAUCAUUAUGGGAGCUUUUGAAAGUAAGCCUUGCAGCCAGUCCUACCCUAGUUCCUAUCAAAUUAGAAUCUCUAGGAUGUGAAAGGGAAAUGUGCCUUUAUACCCUCAUUGACUCUGUCAGGUAGUGUCAACAUGGAUCAAAUGAACGGUUUCUACUGCAGGUCCUGGAUGAACAGGUAAGAGCCUAGGUCACCAUCUGGGAAGAAAGAAUGAGCAAAGAUAAAAUUUUGAGUACAGGGUGUAAGACACCACACUGCACUAUGAAUGGAAGACACCACACGACACAAAUCACCGGAGAGAUUCCGCUUUAUUACAAAAGGCUGUGGGCUUAUAUAGAUCUAAGGGGAGGUGGCAGGGCUUAGGUAAGUGAUGGGUCACCCGUUUAUUGGCAAGUUCUUCCAGAUGUCAGUUCUGGAGCCCAAGAAGUUAAUUCUUAUUGGGGCUAAUGUUUCCCACCCGCUGGAUUUGAAUAAUGGCGCCGGCGGGAAAUUUUCACGCCAGUGAAAAGAAGGGAAAGUAGGCGCCAUGUUGAGGUUUUUCUUUGGGGUGUGGCUGCCGUUUAUACUGUUCCUAACACAGGGUAAGAAAGCAUGACUUAUUCUGCCCUUUAAGGUUUUUAAGUGCAUGGUUACAAAUUAUCUGUUUAGUAGGUGUUAAAAAGUAUUGAGUAAGUUGAAAGUGGUUAACAGGGACCUAUAUCUUGCCUGGGGUCAGAAAAAGACAUGACCUUUAAACUGAAAUUAGAAGCCAAGUAGUAGUUAGCCUGAUGAAGAGAAGGGAGGAUGCAUCUUAAUUGGGAAGAAUGUCAGACUUUAACCUGUAUCCCUCAUAGGAAAUGCAUAACUUUUGUGAUGCAUCGGCAUAUAUGGUCCUAUACUUACUAUUUAUUUUCAUUGAAUUGGUAAAUAUAUGUUGGCUGAAAAAUCUGAAAUAUAUCAGCCAUGAAGUUUUUGUUAUAUACUUUUUUGGGCUUUGGGAUUUUGGGUGAUUUUUGUCUUUUUGCUUAUCUAUUUUUCUAUGAUAAUUGUUAGUAAAAGCUAAUAUUUAC